UACGAAGGGGGCUAGCGUUGUUCGGAAUUACUGGGCGUAAAGCGCACGUAGGCGGAAUGUUAAGUCAGGGGUGAAAUCCCGGGGCUCAACCCCGGAACUGCCUUUGAUACUGGCAUUCUCGAGUCCGGAAGAGGUGAGUGGAAUUCCGAGUGUAGAGGUGAAAUUCGUAGAUAUUCGGAGGAACACCAGUGGCGAAGGCGGCUCGCUGGGACGUGACUGACGCUGAGACGCGAAAGCGUGGGGAGCAAACAGG
RNAcentral lists this ribosomal RNA (253 nucleotides) under uncultured bacterium. Its description in RNAcentral is "partial 16S ribosomal RNA". It matches the Rfam family "Bacterial small subunit ribosomal RNA", at positions 524 to 776 of the family's 1533-position model. The record is from RNAcentral.